This 342-nucleotide unclassified non-coding RNA is filed under the name uncultured fungus. RNAcentral describes it as "partial contains 5.8S ribosomal RNA and internal transcribed spacer 2". The stretch from base 1 to 133 matches the Rfam family "5.8S ribosomal RNA", at positions 22 to 154 of the family's 154-position model. Lineage: Eukaryota; Fungi. The record is from RNAcentral.
UGGCUCUCGCAUCGAUGAAGAACGCAGCGAAAUGCGAUAAGUAAUGUGAAUUGCAGAAUUCAGUGAAUCAUCGAAUCUUUGAACGCACCUUGCGCCUUUUGGUAUUCCGAAAGGCAUGCCUGUUUGAGUGUCAUGAACUACUCACCCCGACGUUUUCUAAACGACGGGCGUGGAUUUGGGUGUCUGCCUUUGCUGGCUCACCUUAAAUGGAUUAGUGGAUGCGUUGGUCAUCUGGACGUGAUACGUUUCGUCUGUGAAGGCUGGUGCUGUCUGCUCCUAACCCGACUUUCGAGUCAACCCCAUUUGUUAUCAGACCUCAAAUCAGGUAGGACUACCCGCUGA